RNAcentral lists this unclassified non-coding RNA (549 nucleotides) under Malbranchea gymnoascoides. RNAcentral's name for it is "sequence contains 18S rRNA gene, ITS1, 5.8S rRNA gene, ITS2". The stretch from base 193 to 346 matches the Rfam family "5.8S ribosomal RNA". Lineage: Eukaryota; Fungi; Ascomycota; Eurotiomycetes; Onygenales; Malbrancheaceae. The record is from RNAcentral.
GACUGCGGGAGGAUCAUUAAGCGUUGAGCCUGCGCCUCCGGGCGCCGGCGAAACUCCACCCGUGACUACUACACCGCAUGUUGCUUUGGCGGGCCCGCCGCUGGCCGCCGGGGAUCUCCCUGGCCCGCGCCCGCCAAAGAUACACUGAACCCUCUGUGAAAUUGGACGUCUGAGUUGAUGAUCAAUCAUUAAAACUUUCAACAAUGGAUCUCUUGGUUCCGGCAUCGAUGAAGAACGCAGCGAAAUGCGAUAAGUAAUGUGAAUUGCAGAAUUCCGUGAAUCAUCGAAUCUUUGAACGCACAUUGCGCCCUCUGGUAUUCCGGAGGGCAUGCCUGUCCGAGCGUCAUUGCAACCUUCAAGCACGGCUUGUGUGUUGGGUCUCGUCCCCCGAGGACGGGCCCGAAAGGCAGUGGCGGCGUCCGUUUCGGUGCCCGAGCGUAUGGGAACUCUUGUCCCGCUUGGUGGCCCGGCGGCGCUGGUCGAAACCAAUUUUUACCGGUUGACCUCGGAUCAGGUAGGGAUACCCGCUGAACUUAAGCAUAUCAAUAA